Molecule: non-coding RNA, 2041 nt
Organism: Physcomitrium patens
Lineage: Eukaryota; Viridiplantae; Streptophyta; Bryopsida; Funariales; Funariaceae
Source: RefSeq, a predicted model, not a curated record
GUCUUCAUGUUUGUUUGAUUGUGUUUGUUGGGUUUGUCGGUAGAUUUGUUGUUGGCUUCGUAGUCCGUUUGCUCUGGUCCUAUAGCCAGAGAUGGACAAGCAGCCAUGAAAUAUCUUCAGCUUGAACCCACUCACCCACCUCGCAAAGCUCAUUCUGAGCGUGGAAGAAUUUUUGUUUCAUUUGGUGCCCAGCUCGAUGUUAAGGCGAGGUUUUGUUAUGCUCUUGUCGUGAAUUUGUUGGGUUUGAAGGUGAAUUGCACUGUGGUUUCCUGUGGCAGUGUGGUUCCUGAACUGGAUCUGGGCUUUGGGUUGUCGCACGCCAUGCGCUUGGUUGUGCGGAUGGGUUUUUUGUUGCCUGUUCUUCUGAUGUUGAUGAAUAGGUCUCCAACAGAACAUACUUAAAAGAUUGCUGCAUUAUUGAACAUGAGAUGUUCACGAUCCAUUAUCCUCUCUGGGGCACUGUCAGCUAUCAAAAUUUUGACCAUGAGAACUCAGUGCUCUGUAGCUUAGAAUGUCACUGUUAUAUUAGUGUCAGCGUUGGGAAGAAUUUCGGGUUCAACGAGGCUUGUUCAAGAUGAAAUUCAGGAGAGGUUCAAGCAGUCAGACUUUUCUGAAGUGUCAGAUGAAGCGCCUAAAUUACAAAAUCUUAAAAAUCUGACAAUGCUUUCAAGGACCGCAGGUUGAGUGCUAUAAUUGAUGUCACGAUGUCGUUAGCAGAAAUUGAAAGACACGCACGUUUUAUCAACUGCACUUGGCUUAAUUAUUCUCAAUAAGAUAAACAAAAAUGGUGUCAACUGACUCGCAAUCGUGUUUUCCUCGCUUGGACGAUUUUCAUCUUCACACUAAAUGUAAUGUACUGAAGGUUUCAUGUUUGUUGGACAGCAUCGUAUUAGAAGUCUCGUUCUGAAGCAGAGUUGACUGGUUCAGUAUUAUUUUAUUUUUUAUUUUAUUUCGUUUGUUUGCUUGUUUUGUUUUUUUUGUGUGUACCGUGUUUUGCUGUGAUUAUUGUUAUUUGGUGAUGGUGAUAACAGGACACUGCAACUUUUUUUGAACUCCAGCUUCUAUGCAUUGCAUAUUCAGCUGAUCCUGGUCUUAUUCCCCAAAAGGAGCCUUCAGGGGUGCAGGUUGAGGAUUACAUACUUCCGCAGAAGAAGAAUUCAGUUCGCCGCCUUGUUCCAGAUCCUGUACCCCCUUAUACCUUGAGGUGUUUUUCACUACACCUGAAUUGUAAACAUGGAAGUUGAUAAACUAGGGGCUUUGCGCAUAUCUAACUACAACUAAAAUAGCAAAGAACUUUGGCUGUUUCAGUUGAAUGUAUCUCUUUUUCUGUGGACUUGUGCAGUCAUUCAGAUAGACCUUCUUGGCAAAAUGGUGGACAACUGCAAGUAUUGUAGAAAUUUUCAUUCCACCGUCCACGAAUUUAAUUGUAUUUGUUCGGCAGUUUCCAUUGAGUUGUGCUUUUGUAUGCUUUUCAAGUGAGGCAAAAGGUUUUUAUAUAUUUUACAGCUCGGAGCACGCAAACACCCUCAUGGGUGGGCGGUCGGUGCCAUUUGUGGGACUCUCAGUAUGUACCCCCGUUGCAGUAAUAGAACUUCAGCUUCUGGUAUUGAGAGUAACACGUUCUGUUGCGACUGUUGAAGGUUUUAUUUUUAAAUGUUAAAUAACAACAACAAUAUUUGUAGUGAACUCUCACUUGUACUCUUCAUUGUAAUCUAGAAGUUUUCUAUUGCGUUAGAGUAUAUCCUUCUCAAGACAUUUACAUAGAUACUCAACAGAGUCCCUGCAAGUAUUCCAUGAAUCGGUGCAGAAUGCUUGUGAUAUACACCUCUGUAUACCUAGCAAGGGACAGACACAGGGAAGACUAUUUUCAUUAUCACCUGCACAGUUGAGUUGUUUCGGUUUUUUUCUGUGUGCAAGUUACGUAACUACACCAAUUGCCAGUGGUUGUCAGCUCUAAGUGAGAGUUUGUUGAUUACCAUUUUGCAGGUAUCAAACUCCAGUCAAACUUCCAAUCAAGUUCAUAAAGUUUUUUAAAUUUCUA